This is a long non-coding RNA of Bombina bombina (fire-bellied toad), 169 nucleotides long. RefSeq lists it as uncharacterized. The record is from RefSeq and is a predicted model, not a curated record. The transcript is spliced from 3 exons. NCBI's taxonomy places the organism in Eukaryota, Metazoa, Chordata, Amphibia, Anura, Bombinatoridae.
CUGCAGACAAGCCAUGUGCAUUGCAAUCAGAAACAUGUCAAAGGGUCUAUAAAGACAUUACUGACCAUGAAAUGAGAAGAUGCAUAGAGGAUUGCCAAUCCCACACAAUAAUUGUUUGUGGUCACAGGCCGGUGCCAAAUUCAAGAUCAUAGAACAGAUACAGAUGGAC